AGUAACACGUAUCCAACGUUCCCAUAACUCAGGGAUAGACCUUUCGAAAGAAAGAUUAAUACCUGAUAGUACUUUUUCAAGGCAUCUGAGAAAGUUAAGAUUUAUUGGUAUGGAUGGGGAUGCGUUCCAUUAGAUAGUUGGUGAGGUAACGGCUCACCAAGUCUUCGAUGGAUAGGGGUUCUGAGAGGAAGGUCCCCCACAUUGGUACUGAGACACGGACCAAACUCCUACGGGAGGCAGCAGUGAGGAAUAUUGGUCAAUGGGCGAGAGCCUGAACCAGCCAAGUAGCGUGAAGGAUAGGAAGGUCCUAUGGAUUGUAAACUUCUUUUAUAGUAGAAUAAAGUGAUCCACGUGUGGAUUUUUGUAUGUAUACUAUGAAUAAGGAUCGGCUAACUCCGUGCCAGCCGCAGC
This 411-nucleotide ribosomal RNA is filed under the name uncultured bacterium. Its description in RNAcentral is "bacterial SSU rRNA". It matches the Rfam family "Bacterial small subunit ribosomal RNA", at positions 109 to 518 of the family's 1533-position model. The record is from RNAcentral.